GUGAGGAAUAUUGGUCAAUGGGCGGGAGCCUGAACCAGCCAAGUCGCGUGAAGGAAGAAGGAUCUAUGGUUCGUAAACUUCUUUUGCAGGGGAAUAAAGUGCGGGACGUGUCCUGUUUUGUAUGUACCCUGAGAAUAAGGAUCGGCUAACUCCGUUCCAGCAGCCGCGGUAAUACGGAGGAUCCGAGCGUUAUCCGGAUUUAUUGGGUUUAAAGGGUGCGUAGGUGGUUUGAUAAGUCAGCGGUGAAAGUUUGCAGCUUAACUGUAAAAAUGCCGUUGAAGCUGUCGGACUUGAGUGUAAAUGAGGUAGGCGGAAUGCGUGGUGUAGCGGUGAAAUGCAUAGAUAUCACGCAGAACUCCGAUUGCGAAGGCAGCUUACUAAGCUACAACUGACACUGAAGCACGAAAGCGUGGGGAUCAAACAGGAUUAGAAACCCUAGUAGUCC
This 445-nucleotide ribosomal RNA is filed under the name uncultured bacterium. Its description in RNAcentral is "partial 16S ribosomal RNA". It matches the Rfam family "Bacterial small subunit ribosomal RNA", at positions 354 to 796 of the family's 1533-position model. The record is from RNAcentral.